RNAcentral lists this ribosomal RNA (261 nucleotides) under uncultured archaeon. RNAcentral's name for it is "partial 16S ribosomal RNA". It matches the Rfam family "Archaeal small subunit ribosomal RNA", at positions 748 to 1007 of the family's 1478-position model. The record is from RNAcentral.
CAGCCGUAAACUAUGCGCGUUAGGUGUAUCGGUGACCACGAGUUACCGAGGUGCCGAAGGGAAACCGUGAAACGUGCCGCCUGGGAAGUACGGUCGCAAGGCUGAAACUUAAAGGAAUUGGCGGGGGGAGGCACCACAACAGGUGGAGCCUGCGGUUUAAUUGGACUCAACGCCGGGAAGCUCACCGGAUAGGACAGCAGAAUGAUUGCCGGGCUGAAGACCCUGCAUGACUAGCUGAGAGGAGGUGCAUGGCGUAGACGU